This 448-nucleotide ribosomal RNA is filed under the name Micromonospora sp. RNAcentral's name for it is "bacterial SSU rRNA". It matches the Rfam family "Bacterial small subunit ribosomal RNA", at positions 133 to 596 of the family's 1533-position model. The record is from RNAcentral. Lineage: Bacteria; Bacillati; Actinomycetota; Actinomycetes; Micromonosporales; Micromonosporaceae.
AGGCUUUGGGAUAACCCUCGGAAACGGGGGCUAAUACCGAAUACGACCUCUGGACGCAUGUUUGGUGGUGGAAAGUUUUUCGGCCUGGGAUGGGCUCGCGGCCUAUCAGCUUGUUGGUGGGGUGAUGGCCUACCAAGGCGACGACGGGUAGCCGGCCUGAGAGGGCGACCGGCCACACUGGGACUGAGACACGGCCCAGACUCCUACGGGAGGCAGCAGUGGGGAAUAUUGCACAAUGGGCGGAAGCCUGAUGCAGCGACGCCGCGUGAGGGAUGACGGCCUUCGGGUUGUAAACCUCUUUCAGCAGGGACGAAGCGCAAGUGACGGUACCUGCAGAAGAAGCACCGGCCAACUACGUGCCAGCAGCCGCGGUAAGACGUAGGGUGCGAGCGUUGUCCGGAUUUAUUGGGCGUAAAGAGCUCGUAGGCGGCUUGUCGCGUCGACCGUG